This 2524-nucleotide ribosomal RNA is filed under the name Salmonella enterica. RNAcentral's name for it is "partial 23S ribosomal RNA". It matches the Rfam family "Bacterial large subunit ribosomal RNA", at positions 512 to 2925 of the family's 2925-position model. Lineage: Bacteria; Pseudomonadati; Pseudomonadota; Gammaproteobacteria; Enterobacterales; Enterobacteriaceae. The record is from RNAcentral.
AGGCGAAAAGAACCCCGGCGAGGGGAGUGAAAAAGAGCCUGAAACCGUGUACGUACAAGCAGUGGGAGCACCCUUCGGGGUGUGACUGCGUACCUUUUGUAUAAUGGGUCAGCGACUUAUAUUCUGUAGCAAGGUUAACCGUAUAGGGGAGCCGGAGGGAAACCGAGUCUUAACCGGGCGUUAAGUUGCAGGGUAUAGACCCGAAACCCGGUGAUCUAGCCAUGGGCAGGUUGAAGGUUGGGUAACACUAACUGGAGGACCGAACCGACUAAUGUUGAAAAAUUAGCGGAUGACCUGUGGCUGGGGGUGAAAGGCCAAUCAAACCGGGAGAUAGCUGGUUCUCCCCGAAAGCUAUUUAGGUAGCGCCUCGUGAAUUCAUCUCCGGGGGUAGAGCACUGUUUCGGCUAGGGGGCCAUCCCGGCUUACCAACCCGAUGCAAACUGCGAAUACCGGAGAAUGUUAUCACGGGAGACACACGGCGGGUGCUAACGUCCGUCGUGAAGAGGGAAACAACCCAGACCGCCAGCUAAGGUCCCAAAGUCAUGGUUAAGUGGGAAACGAUGUGGGAAGGCCCAGACAGCCAGGAUGUUGGCUUAGAAGCAGCCAUCAUUUAAAGAAAGCGUAAUAGCUCACUGGUCGAGUCGGCCUGCGCGGAAGAUGUAACGGGGCUAAACCAUGCACCGAAGCUGCGGCAGCGAACGUAUCACCCAAGACAACUUUACGGAGUUGACGAUUGACGGAGCGAAGCGACGUCAAAGCGUUCAUUAAAGUCGAGUUGGCUUAGGGAUACGUUCGUUGGGUAGGGGAGCGUUCUGUAAGCCUGUGAAGGUGUGUCGUGAGGCAUGCUGGAGGUAUCAGAAGUGCGAAUGCUGACAUAAGUAACGAUAAAGCGGGUGAAAAGCCCGCUCGCCGGAAGACCAAGGGUUCCUGUCCAACGUUAAUCGGGGCAGGGUGAGUCGACCCCUAAGGCGAGGCCGAAAGGCGUAGUCGAUGGGAAACGGGUUAAUAUUCCCGUACUUGGUGUUACUGCGAAGGGGGGACGGAGAAGGCUAUGUUGGCCGGGCGACGGUUGUCCCGGUUUAAGCGUGUAGGUGUGUGUUCCAGGUAAAUCCGGUUCACUUUAACACUGAGGCGUGACGACGAGGCACUACGGUGCUGAAGCAACAAAUGCCCUGCUUCCAGGAAAAGCCUCUAAGCAUCAGGUAACAUCAAAUCGUACCCCAAACCGACACAGGUGGUCAGGUAGAGAAUACCAAGGCGCUUGAGAGAACUCGGGUGAAGGAACUAGGCAAAAUGGUGCCGUAACUUCGGGAGAAGGCACGCUGACACGUAGGUGAAGUGAUUUACUCAUGGAGCUGAAGUCAGUCGAAGAUACCAGCUGGCUGCAACUGUUUAUUAAAAACACAGCACUGUGCAAACACGAAAGUGGACGUAUACGGUGUGACGCCUGCCCGGUGCCGGAAGGUUAAUUGAUGGGGUCAGCGCAAGCGAAGCUCCUGAUCGAAGCCCCGGUAAACGGCGGCCGUAACUAUAACGGUCCUAAGGUAGCGAAAUUCCUUGUCGGGUAAGUUCCGACCUGCACGAAUGGCGUAAUGAUGGCCAGGCUGUCUCCACCCGAGACUCAGUGAAAUUGAACUCGCUGUGAAGAUGCAGUGUACCCGCGGCAAGACGGAAAGACCCCGUGAACCUUUACUAUAGCUUGACACUGAACAUUGAGCCUUGAUGUGUAGGAUAGGUGGGAGGCUUUGAAGUGUGGACGCCAGUCUGCAUGGAGCCGACCUUGAAAUACCACCCUUUAAUGUUUGAUGUUCUAACGUGGACCCGUAAUCCGGGUUGCGGACAGUGUCUGGUGGGUAGUUUGACUGGGGCGGUCUCCUCCUAAAGAGUAACGGAGGAGCACGAAGGUUGGCUAAUCCUGGUCGGACAUCAGGAGGUUAGUGCAAUGGCAUAAGCCAGCUUGACUGCGAGCGUGACGGCGCGAGCAGGUGCGAAAGCAGGUCAUAGUGAUCCGGUGGUUCUGAAUGGAAGGGCCAUCGCUCAACGGAUAAAAGGUACUCCGGGGAUAACAGGCUGAUACCGCCCAAGAGUUCAUAUCGACGGCGGUGUUUGGCACCUCGAUGUCGGCUCAUCACAUCCUGGGGCUGAAGUAGGUCCCAAGGGUAUGGCUGUUCGCCAUUUAAAGUGGUACGCGAGCUGGGUUUAGAACGUCGUGAGACAGUUCGGUCCCUAUCUGCCGUGGGCGCUGGAGAACUGAGGGGGGCUGCUCCUAGUACGAGAGGACCGGAGUGGACGCAUCACUGGUGUUCGGGUUGUCAUGCCAAUGGCACUGCCCGGUAGCUAAAUGCGGAAGAGAUAAGUGCUGAAAGCAUCUAAGCACGAAACUUGCCCCGAGAUGAGUUCUCCCUGAGACUUAGAGUCUCCUGAAGGAACGUUGAAGACGACGACGUUGAUAGGCCGGGUGUGUAAGCGCAGCGAUGCGUUGAGCUAACCGGUACUAAUGAACCGUGAGGCUUAACCUUACAAC